AUGGAUACAGUCAAAAUCUGUGCUAGAACAAUAAUCCAGUACUCCCUCCGUCCGGAAAUACUUGUCGGAGAAAUGGAUGUAUCUAGACAUAUUUUAGUUCUAGAUACAUCCAGUUUUAUGCAUUUCUCCGACAAGUAUUUCCGGACGGAAGGAGUACUUGUGAUAGCCUAUUCAACAAGUACAUACGUCCAAGAUUCUUCACUAAGAAAGCCAUUGUCGAGCUGCAAACAAUUGUUAGAAUUCUUCCUUUCAUGGUUACCGACGAAUGCUGCUCUCCUUGAGGACCUCCAAGAGGUGCUUCUGGCAGUUCAAUGCUGGUCUUGCUUGAAAAUUUCAGCAAAACUGACUGGAGGGCCAUGCAUCACAAUAAGGUCAAGGGAAUUUCAUCCCAUUGUUGAAAUAAUUUCAUUUGCCCAUGAAGGGAGAGAUGCUCGGAAUGUGACGGGCAAUCCAGUUACCGGAUGCACAAAUGAUAAGCUCUCUGCAUGCAACGCAUGA
This 498-nucleotide ribosomal RNA is filed under the name Triticum aestivum (bread wheat). RNAcentral's name for it is "partial small subunit ribosomal RNA". The stretch from base 36 to 160 matches the Rfam family "MIR1120/MIR1122 microRNA precursor family". The record is from RNAcentral. Lineage: Eukaryota; Viridiplantae; Streptophyta; Magnoliopsida; Poales; Poaceae.